RNAcentral lists this ribosomal RNA (246 nucleotides) under uncultured bacterium. RNAcentral describes it as "partial 16S ribosomal RNA". It matches the Rfam family "Bacterial small subunit ribosomal RNA", at positions 87 to 334 of the family's 1533-position model. The record is from RNAcentral.
AAUGGCGACCGGCGCACGGGUGAGUAACACGUAUCCAACCUGCCGAUAACUCGGGGAUAGCCUUUCGAAAGAAAGAUUAAUAUCCGAUAGCAUAUCAAUCCCGCAUGAGAUUAAUAUUAAAGAAUUUCGGUUAUCGAUGGGGAUGCGUUCCAUUAGUUUGUUGGCGGGGUAACGGCCCACCAAGACUACGAUGGAUAGGGGUUCUGAGAGGAAGGUCCCCCACAUUGGAACUGAGACACGGUCCAA